Molecule: ribosomal RNA, 858 nt
Filed under: uncultured bacterium
Lineage: Bacteria
Description: bacterial SSU rRNA
Rfam family: Bacterial small subunit ribosomal RNA
Source: RNAcentral
AGGACGAACGCUGGCGGCGUGCUUAACACAUGCAAGUCGAACGGAAAGGCCUCUUCGGAGGUACUCGAGUGGCGAACGGGUGAGUAACACGUGGGUAAUCUGCCCUGCACUUCGGGAUAAGCUUGGGAAACUGGGUCUAAUACCGAAUAGGACCAUUUAGCGCAUGCUUUAUGGUGGAAAGCUUUUGCGGUGUGGGAUGGGCCCGCGGCCUAUCAGCUUGUUGGUGGGGUGACGGCCUACCAAGGCGACGACGGGUAGCCGGCCUGAGAGGGUGUCCGGCCACACUGGGACUGAGAUACGGCCCAGACUCCUACGGGAGGCAGCAGUGGGGAAUAUUGCACAAUGGGCGCAAGCCUGAUGCAGCGACGCCGCGUGGGGGGUGAAGGCCUUCGGGUUGUAAACCCCUUUCAGCAGGGACGAAGCGAAAGUGACGGUACCUGCAGAAGAAGCGCCGGCUAACUACGUGCCAGCAGCCGCGGUAACACGUAGGGCGCAAGCGUUGUCCGGAAUUAUUGGGCGUAAAGAGUUCGUAGGUGGUUUGUUAAGUCUGAUGUUAAAUAUUGGGGCUCAACCCUGAACAUGCAUUGGAUACUGGCAGACUUGAGUGUGGUAGAGGCUAGUGGAAUUCCCAGUGUAGCGGUGAAAUGCGUAGAUAUUGGGAAGAACACCGGUGGCGUAGGCGACUAGCUGGGCCAUAACUGACACUGAGGAACGAAAGCCAGGGUAGCGAAUGGGAUUAGAUACCCCAGUAGUCCUGGCCGUAAACGAUGGAUACUAGGCGUAUCGGGUAUCGACCCCUGAUGUGCCGCAGCUGACGCGAUAAGUAUCCCGCCUGAGUAGUACGGCCGCAAGGUUAAA